AAUAAAAUUUACUGAUCUAAUAAUUAAAUUGAUUUAUUGCAUUAAAAAUACAUUUAGUUGUUUAUUGUGUUUCAAAUGUACGUCAGUCCAUUAUUUACGUUUUGCCAUUUAAAUAAUUACAACCAUAUAUUUAAACAUACGAAAGAAUAUGCUUUGAAGCGCCUCGUGGACUUUGGUCAUAUAUAAACACGUGCUCCCGCUAAAUUUUCAUUCCACGAGUAUUUUUCAA
This 229-nucleotide long non-coding RNA is filed under the name Mytilus galloprovincialis (Mediterranean mussel). Lineage: Eukaryota; Metazoa; Mollusca; Bivalvia; Mytilida; Mytilidae. The record is from RNAcentral.